Molecule: ribosomal RNA, 2406 nt
Filed under: Staphylococcus aureus
Lineage: Bacteria; Bacillati; Bacillota; Bacilli; Caryophanales; Staphylococcaceae
Description: partial 23S ribosomal RNA
Rfam family: Bacterial large subunit ribosomal RNA
Source: RNAcentral
UUGCUUGUUGGGGUUGUAGGACACUCUAUACGGAGUUACAAAGGACGACAUUAGACGAAUCAUCUGGAAAGAUGAAUCAAAGAAGGUAAUAAUCCUGUAGUCGAAAAUGUUGUCUCUCUUGAGUGGAUCCUGAGUACGACGGAGCACGUGAAAUUCCGUCGGAAUCUGGGAGGACCAUCUCCUAAGGCUAAAUACUCUCUAGUGACCGAUAGUGAACCAGUACCGUGAGGGAAAGGUGAAAAGCACCCCGGAAGGGGAGUGAAAUAGAACCUGAAACCGUGUGCUUACAAGUAGUCAGAGCCCGUUAAUGGGUGAUGGCGUGCCUUUUGUAGAAUGAACCGGCGAGUUACGAUUUGAUGCAAGGUUAAGCAGUAAAUGUGGAGCCGUAGCGAAAGCGAGUCUGAAUAGGGCGUUUAGUAUUUGGUCGUAGACCCGAAACCAGGUGAUCUACCCUUGGUCAGGUUGAAGUUCAGGUAACACUGAAUGGAGGACCGAACCGACUUACGUUGAAAAGUGAGCGGAUGAACUGAGGGUAGCGGAGAAAUUCCAAUCGAACCUGGAGAUAGCUGGUUCUCUCCGAAAUAGCUUUAGGGCUAGCCUCAAGUGAUGAUUAUUGGAGGUAGAGCACUGUUUGGACGAGGGGCCCCUCUCGGGUUACCGAAUUCAGACAAACUCCGAAUGCCAAUUAAUUUAACUUGGGAGUCAGAACAUGGGUGAUAAGGUCCGUGUUCGAAAGGGAAACAGCCCAGACCACCAGCUAAGGUCCCAAAAUAUAUGUUAAGUGGAAAAGGAUGUGGCGUUGCCCAGACAACUAGGAUGUUGGCUUAGAAGCAGCCAUCAUUUAAAGAGUGCGUAAUAGCUCACUAGUCGAGUGACACUGCGCCGAAAAUGUACCGGGGCUAAACAUAUUACCGAAGCUGUGGAUUGUCCUUUGGACAAUGGUAGGAGAGCGUUCUAAGGGCGUUGAAGCAUGAUCGUAAGGACAUGUGGAGCGCUUAGAAGUGAGAAUGCCGGUGUGAGUAGCGAAAGACGGGUGAGAAUCCCGUCCACCGAUUGACUAAGGUUUCCAGAGGAAGGCUCGUCCGCUCUGGGUUAGUCGGGUCCUAAGCUGAGGCCGACAGGCGUAGGCGAUGGAUAACAGGUUGAUAUUCCUGUACCACCUAUAAUCGUUUUAAUCGAUGGGGGGACGCAGUAGGAUAGGCGAAGCGUGCGAUUGGAUUGCACGUCUAAGCAGUAAGGCUGAGUAUUAGGCAAAUCCGGUACUCGUUAAGGCUGAGCUGUGAUGGGGAGAAGACAUUGUGUCUUCGAGUCGUUGAUUUCACACUGCCGAGAAAAGCCUCUAGAUAGAAAAUAGGUGCCCGUACCGCAAACCGACACAGGUAGUCAAGAUGAGAAUUCUAAGGUGAGCGAGCGAACUCUCGUUAAGGAACUCGGCAAAAUGACCCCGUAACUUCGGGAGAAGGGGUGCUCUUUAGGGUUAACGCCCAGAAGAGCCGCAGUGAAUAGGCCCAAGCGACUGUUUAUCAAAAACACAGGUCUCUGCUAAACCGUAAGGUGAUGUAUAGGGGCUGACGCCUGCCCGGUGCUGGAAGGUUAAGAGGAGUGGUUAGCUUCUGCGAAGCUACGAAUCGAAGCCCCAGUAAACGGCGGCCGUAACUAUAACGGUCCUAAGGUAGCGAAAUUCCUUGUCGGGUAAGUUCCGACCCGCACGAAAGGCGUAACGAUUUGGGCACUGUCUCAACGAGAGACUCGGUGAAAUCAUAGUACCUGUGAAGAUGCAGGUUACCCGCGACAGGACGGAAAGACCCCGUGGAGCUUUACUGUAGCCUGAUAUUGAAAUUCGGCACAGCUUGUACAGGAUAGGUAGGAGCCUUUGAAACGUGAGCGCUAGCUUACGUGGAGGCGCUGGUGGGAUACUACCCUAGCUGUGUUGGCUUUCUAACCCGCACCACUUAUCGUGGUGGGAGACAGUGUCAGGCGGGCAGUUUGACUGGGGCGGUCGCCUCCUAAAAGGUAACGGAGGCGCUCAAAGGUUCCCUCAGAAUGGUUGGAAAUCAUUCAUAGAGUGUAAAGGCAUAAGGGAGCUUGACUGCGAGACCUACAAGUCGAGCAGGGUCGAAAGACGGACUUAGUGAUCCGGUGGUUCCGCAUGGAAGGGCCAUCGCUCAACGGAUAAAAGCUACCCCGGGGAUAACAGGCUUAUCUCCCCCAAGAGUUCACAUCGACGGGGAGGUUUGGCACCUCGAUGUCGGCUCAUCGCAUCCUGGGGCUGUAGUCGGUCCCAAGGGUUGGGCUGUUCGCCCAUUAAAGCGGUACGCGAGCUGGGUUCAGAACGUCGUGAGACAGUUCGGUCCCUAUCCGUCGUGGGCGUAGGAAAUUUGAGAGGAGCUGUCCUUAGUACGAGAG